AGCGAACGCUGGCGGCAGGCUUAACACAUGCCAGUCGAGCGGGCACUUUCGGGUGUCAGCGGCGGACGGGUGAGUAACGCGUGGGAACGUGCCCUCUGGUUCGGAAUAACUCAGGGAAACUUGAGCUAAUACCGGAUACGCCCUUUUGGGGAAAGGCUUGCUGCCGGAGGAUCGGCCCGCGUCUGAUUAGCUAGUUGGUGAGGUAACGGCUCACCAAGGCGACGAUCAGUAGCUGGUCUGAGGGGAUGAUCAGCCACACUGGGACUGAGACACGGCCCAGACUCCUACGGGAGGCAGCAGUGGGGAAUAUUGGACAAUGGGCGCAAGCCUGAUCCAGCCAUGCCGCGUGAGUGAUGAAGGCCUUAGGGUUGUAAAGCUCUUUUAUCCGGGACGAUAAUGACGGUACCGGAGGAAUAAGCCCCGGCUAACUUCGUG
RNAcentral lists this ribosomal RNA (435 nucleotides) under uncultured bacterium. RNAcentral's name for it is "partial 16S ribosomal RNA". It matches the Rfam family "Bacterial small subunit ribosomal RNA", at positions 29 to 507 of the family's 1533-position model. The record is from RNAcentral.